RNAcentral lists this long non-coding RNA (1278 nucleotides) under Corvus moneduloides (New Caledonian crow). Its description in RNAcentral is "lncRNA (ENSCMUG00000018882.1)". The record is from RNAcentral. Lineage: Eukaryota; Metazoa; Chordata; Aves; Passeriformes; Corvidae.
AUGCCAAGGGUUCUAAUUCGGGUGUUUCCGGCCUCCCGCGGCGGCGCUCUGGCCAGUGCUUGGCUCGUGGGUGUUGCCGUCCCUCUGCUCGCCCUCCUGUUUGGGGGAAAAAACAGGGAUUUGGGAGCUCUGUGCCCAAGGCAGAACCCCCCUCGGGGGUUAUCUCCCGGCUGGCAGAACUCAAGCUCAGCCUGGAACCCCCCGGAUCACCCUGGGAAGCCUCCGUGGGUCGCGCUGGGACAGGCAGGGCGUGUUGAGACCCCGGUCAGAGGUUGGGGUGGUGGGAGCAGGCACGGAUCCCGCUCCUGGGAUCGAGGGGCGGUGGCUGAGCCCCAACAGAGAGUCCCAGAGUGUGGCUACCCCGUGGGGGCUGUGCUGGCCCUGGGAAGGUUUCACCAAGGCCUCAGGCUCCCUGGCACGCCGAGGGCAGCGUGGCGUGGGGAGGGGACAGUGCCCAGGGAUGCUGCCCCGGUGCAUGGUGGGAAAUUCCCUGUUGUCCCUCCAUCAUCUCCUUGCCCCUGCAACGGCUGCCACGGACCCUCCUUGGGGCUUCCCACUUUCAGCUUGGCGUGUCCAUCCCUCUCCUCACCUGUCCCCUCCCUCGCGACAUUCCCGUCAUCCCCGGGCACCCCCAGAGCUACCCGGCCACACCAGGACGCUGCAGACCCUCCCCUGGGGUCCCUCCCGGCUGCCACCUCCGUUCCAGCCCUUCUGGAUCCAUCAUUCCUGAGGAACGGAGGGAGGGGAACGGGAAGAGUUUGUCUUUCAGCACCUUCUCAUCGCAGGCAGGCGCGGGCUCUCCCUCGCCCCGAGCCCUGUCUGGGUCCCCUCCCUGUUCCCUGGCACCCACUGGGUGCAGCGAGCAGCAUCCCGGCGCCGCGGCCCCCCAAACCCUCCCCCCCUGGGCGAGCAGGGCUCGGGGGGGUCCCGCUGUGGCUUGACCCACGCUGGCGGUGGGAUGGGACCACCUGGCACGGCCGAGUGACCCCGGUGGCACGCGGUGCCCCGAGCCGUGCCCAGCAAGGGUUAAGCCCGGCGCCCGGCUCCCAGCGGGACCAGACCGCAAGGAAGCUGCUGAGCUGGAGGCAGCCCGUGGUCGGCUCUUCGUGGCGCUGCUGGGCUCCCGCGGGCCCUGGCCUGCCCUCACCCCUUCUCCCGUGCCCCCAGCCUGCCCGGCCCCCGCUGCCGAGCCGUGCCGAGCCGUGCCGGGCCAGCCGCGCCGAGGGAUGCGGUUUAUGUAAGGCGGGCACGUCCCGGGGACACACGCAGGUUACAUAA